UCAUGAAAAUGAAUUGAUGGCAAGUCUGUCCCCCUUGAAUAACUCAGGGUUAUUUCACAGAGUCCCAUGUCAGAAUAAACCAUGGCCCCAAACCAUUGCCUGGUUUCUGCCCAUAGGUUGCUGGCACCGAAGUGGGUUAUACAAUG
Molecule: small nucleolar RNA, 146 nt
Organism: Ictidomys tridecemlineatus (thirteen-lined ground squirrel)
Lineage: Eukaryota; Metazoa; Chordata; Mammalia; Rodentia; Sciuridae
Source: Ensembl